This is a non-coding RNA of Pelobates cultripes (western spadefoot toad), 167 nucleotides long. NCBI's taxonomy places the organism in Eukaryota, Metazoa, Chordata, Amphibia, Anura, Pelobatidae. The record is from the annotation of a GenBank genome assembly.
AGACAUGAGGACAGUGAGAGACUUGGGGACACUGAGACAUUGGGACACUGGGAGACAUGUGGACACUGAGACACUGGGGAACAUGGGGACCCUGAGACAGUGUCCCCAUGUCUCCCAGUGUCCCUGGUGUCUCUGUGUCCCCAUGUCUCCCAGUGUCCCUGGUGUCU